CCAGGAGGGUGAGAGCCCCGUGGGAUGCCGGCGGAAGCAGUGAGGCCCUUCUGACGAGUCGAGUUGUUUGGGAAUGCAGCUCCAAGCGGGUGGUAAAUUCCAUCUAAGGCUAAAUACUGGCGAGAGACCGAUAGCGAACAAGUACUGUGAAGGAAAGAUGAAAAGCACUUUGAAAAGAGAGUGAAACAGCACGUGAAAUUGUUGAAAGGGAAGGGUAUUGCGCCCGACAUGGGGAUUGCGCACCGCUGCCUCUCGUGGGCGGCGCUCUGGGCUUUCCCUGGGCCAGCAUCGGUUCUUGCUGCAGGA
RNAcentral lists this ribosomal RNA (306 nucleotides) under [Candida] sp. Levazot2. RNAcentral describes it as "eukaryotic LSU rRNA". It matches the Rfam family "Eukaryotic large subunit ribosomal RNA", at positions 202 to 519 of the family's 3401-position model. The record is from RNAcentral. Lineage: Eukaryota; Fungi; Ascomycota; Saccharomycetes; Saccharomycetales.